GACGAACGCUGGCGGCGUGCUUAACACAUGCAAGUCGAACGGAAAGGCCCCUUUUGGGGUACUCUAGUGGCGAACGGUUGAGUAACACUUGAGUAACCUGCCCUUUACUUCGUUAUAUCUUCAGUCAACUGGGUCUAAUACCGGUUAGGAAUCCUUUCUUCAUGGUGGGUGUUUGAAAGCUUCUGCGGUUUUGGAUGGACUCACGGCUUAUCAGCUUGUUGGUGGUGUAGUUGCUUACCAAGGCUUUGACCGGUAGCCGGACUUAGAGGGCGACCGGCCACAUUGGGACUGAGAUACGGCCAAGACUCCUACGGGAGGCAGCAGUGGGGAAUAAUGCACAAUGGGCGGAAGCCUGAUGCAGCAAAGCCGCGUGCGGGAUGACGGCCUUCGGGUUGUAAACCGCUUGCAGCAGGGGAGAAGCUUGUGGUGACGGUACCUGCAGAAGAAGCACCGGCUAACUACGUG
This 465-nucleotide ribosomal RNA is filed under the name uncultured bacterium. Its description in RNAcentral is "partial 16S ribosomal RNA". It matches the Rfam family "Bacterial small subunit ribosomal RNA", at positions 28 to 507 of the family's 1533-position model. The record is from RNAcentral.